CAAUUACAGUUGACAUUCAGUACUAUUUUGCAUUAGUUUCAGGUGCACAGCAUAGUGGUAAGACAUUUAUAGAAUUUAUGAAGUAAUCCUCCUGAUAAUUCUAGCAGCCACCUGGCACCAUACAUAAUUAUUACAGUAUUAUUGACUAAAUCUUGCCACCUCUU
Molecule: long non-coding RNA, 164 nt
Organism: Phyllostomus discolor (pale spear-nosed bat)
Lineage: Eukaryota; Metazoa; Chordata; Mammalia; Chiroptera; Phyllostomidae
Exons: 3
Source: RefSeq, a predicted model, not a curated record